This is an RNA transcript of Epinephelus moara (kelp grouper), 1291 nucleotides long. It is a transcript of the gene named aspartate dehydrogenase domain containing, with no coding region annotated. The record is from RefSeq and is a predicted model, not a curated record. The transcript is spliced from 9 exons. NCBI's taxonomy places the organism in Eukaryota, Metazoa, Chordata, Actinopteri, Perciformes, Serranidae.
CUCUCAGAGUCAAACUUUGUACUGUGCUCGCCCACAAUUCCUGCAGUCGUGGGCUGGUUGUUGUGCUUCAAGUUGGGAGACACACAGCUCUGCAGGGCUGUGACAUUAUCUGUUGCAGGUGAACGUUCAGCACGUUUCCUUUUUCCGCACAGGACAUGGCAACCAGCUCUUCCUCCCAAAGGAUUGGAGUUGUAGGAUACGGACAUCUAGGGCAGUACCUGGUGGAGAGGAUCCUUAAAGAUGGAGCUGCUCUCGGUUUAACUCUGGCUUUCGUUUGGAACAGAAAUUCUGACAAGCUCAAAGGUGUAGUCCCUGAUGAACUCAUACUUGGUGACCUAUCAUCCUUUUCAGAAAGGCGGUGUGAUGUGAUUGUAGAAGUGUGCCAUCCAAAGAUUGUAAAAGAAUUUGGGUGUCACUUCCUGUCUCAGUGUCAUUUCAUGGUGGGCUCACCCUCGGCCCUCUCUGAUCCUGAGCUGAACCAGAAGCUGCGUCAGGCAGCUCGGCAGUAUGGAAGGACACUCUACGUCCCCAGUGGUGCAUUAUGGGGAGGCCAGGACAUUCAAAGGCUGAAUGACAGUGGGAACUUGAAGGCUUUGUUUAUAAGAAUGUCCAAGCACCCGUCCUGCUUCCGGCUGACAGGAGACGUCCUCUCUGACUGGACAGAGGAAGAGGGCAGGCGUGUUUUAUUCAGAGGCUCAGUGGCAGAGCUGUGCCCACUUGCUCCGAACAAUGUGAACACCAUGGCAGCGGCAGCAGUGGCAGCAGGAACACUUGGCUUUACUGGUGUUCAGGGAGAGAUUGUUUCCGACACAGCGUUAAGUGACUAUCACGUGGUGGAGGUUGAGGUGACUGGGCCUGGUGGCUUCUCGGUCAACACAGUGAGGCGUAAUCCAGCCAAACUUGGAGCUGUAACUGGCAGUGCAACAUAUAACUCCUUCUGGAAUAGUUUACUAGCCGGAGAACCUGGAGAAAACCCACACUGACACAGGGAGAACGUGCAAGCUCUUCACAGAAGGGUUCCCCCACCCCAGGUUCGAACCAGGAGCCCUCUUGCUGUGCAUCUAAAGAGUUUGGAGUUUGCAAAGGUCAUGGAGGACGAGUUUACUUGUGCUGAAGCGGAUGAGAACUCUGCUGAAUUAACAACAACACAGCAAGGAGAUCCAUAUAGAUCAGAUGGUUUAUGGUGGAUAAGUUGUGUGGAUGGUGUCACUGGAUCGGUGUGUUACUGUAAACUUUUUGUGAACUUAUGAUAUUUGUGUUCCAAUAAACUGCAUGCAUACAGAAGAAAGAA